UCCGGGUCUGCAUUCGAUACGGGCAGGCUAGAGUUCGGUAGGGGAGAUCGGAAUUCCUGGUGUAGCGGUGAAAUGCGCAGAUAUCAGGAGGAACACCGGUGGCGAAGGCGGAUCUCUGGGCCGACACUGACGCUGAGGAGCGAUAGCGUGGGGAGCGAACAGGAUUAGAUACCCUGGUAGUCCACGCCGUAAACGUUGGGAACUAGGUGUGGGCGACAUUCCACGUUGUCCGCGCCGCAGCUAACGCAUUAAGUUCCCCGCCUGGGGAGUACGGCCGCAAGGCUAAAACUCAAAGGAAUUGACGGGGGCCCGCACAAGCGGCGGAGCAUGUGGCUUAAUUCGACGCAACGCGAAGAACCUUACCAAGGCUUGACAUACACCGGAAACCUCUGGAGACAGGGGCCCCCUUGUGGUCGGUGUACAGGUGGUGCAUGGCUGUCGUCAGCUCGUGUCGUGAGAUGUUGGGUUAAGUCCCGCAACGAGCGCAACCCUUGUUCUGUGUUGCCAGCAUGCCUUUCGGGGUGAUGGGGACUCACAGGAGACUGCCGGGGUCAACUCGGAGGAAGGUGGGGACGACGUCAAGUCAUCAUGCCCCUUAUGUCUUGGGCUGCACACGUGCUACAAUGGCCGGUACAAUGAGCUGCGAAGCCGUGAGGUGGAGCGAAUCUCAAAAAGCCGGUCUCAGUUCGGAUUGGGGUCUGCAACUCGACCCCAUGAAGUCGGAGUCGCUAGUAAUCGCAGAUCAGCAUUGCUGCGGUGAAUACGUUCCCGGGCCUUGUACACACCGCCCGUCACGUCACGAAAGUCGGUAACACCCGAAGCCGGUGGCCCAACCCUUGUGGGGGGAGCCGUCGAAGGU
This 859-nucleotide ribosomal RNA is filed under the name Streptomyces hygroscopicus. Its description in RNAcentral is "bacterial SSU rRNA". It matches the Rfam family "Bacterial small subunit ribosomal RNA", at positions 614 to 1463 of the family's 1533-position model. Lineage: Bacteria; Bacillati; Actinomycetota; Actinomycetes; Kitasatosporales; Streptomycetaceae. The record is from RNAcentral.